CCUGAGGGCCCACAAGCACCUUCCACCUGUCCGAGGGGUGGCUCUGCCAGGAGGGGCAGGGGGAGAUUUGGGCAGACAGCUCCUGGGAGUUCUUUGGAGCCCGGCACAGCAGGCAGGAGCCGGCCCAAGGGGCUGCUGUGGCACCUCCGUCCCUGAUCCCGCAGACCCUGGUGGCACCACCUGUCUGCCUCCGUCCCUGACUCCCCAGCCCCCAGGCCCACCCAUCUGCAUCCACCCCCGGUCCCCGGUGCCACCUGCCUGCAUCCACCCCCUCGCAGCCCCCAGUGCCACCUGCCCUUAUCCACACCCCCUGCAGCUUGUGCCUUCCACCCAGCUCCAUCCCGGAGCCCCCCCAGUGCACCUGCCAGCUCCUGUGCCUGAGCCCCCUGCCAAUUUCUGUGGCUUUACAGCCACACUGUCCGCUCUGCCUCCCGUCCUGUUGUGUCUCCUGGAUGGAGAGUCCCGUUAGCAGCCUGGAGGGAGCCCACUACCUAAGCUCCCCUCUGCAUACCUGGCACGUCUGUCACUGUGCCCCUGCCUCUGGUACCUCCCCAAGCGCUGAGCCGGGCAGGGUCCUGUCCAGGGUGCUGAGCUGGGCAGCUGGGUCCGAUGCUGAGCCGGGCAGGGUCCUGUCCAGGGCGCUGAGCUGGGCAGCCAGGUCCGGUGCUGAGUCGGGCAGGGUCCUGUCCAGGGUGCUGAGCUGGGCAGCCAGGUCCGGUGCUGAGUCGGGCAGGGUCCUGUCCAGGGUGCUGAGCUGGGCAGCCGGGUCCGAUGCUGAGCCGGGCAGGGUCCUGUCCAGGGCGCUGAGCUGGGCAGCCGGGUCCGAUGCUGAGCCGGGCAGGGUCCUGUCCAGGGCGCUGAGCUGGGGGCAGCCGGGUCUGGUGCUGAGCCGGGCAGAUUCCCUUGUAAUAAGAGACUGUUGGCAGCCCUAGGUCCCGCCCAGAUGCUGCCUCUGAGCAGAGAAAUAGAAACUUAUAUUUCCUGCUCUGGUGCCCUCUGGGUCCUAAUACAAGUGUGACAGUGCUGCCUGGGGGGAGCUGAGGUCAUUCAAUCAGGGUGAACUGCAAAAUAAUGGGGGCAGACAAACCCCAGACGCUGGUGGCUAUUCCGCUACCUAGAUUUACCAGCCAGCACUGAACAGCUCCUGUAGUACCUCACUGGUUACUCAGAAGUUCAAACACCACAGUUCCCUUAAAGUGCCCAGCCUCAGGCCUCUGUCCAGACACAGACGGCAGAGAUGAUGACGAUUCCUGAAAAUCUUCUCUCAUCAUUGUGACGAACUGGGAAAGUUCUUAAUGUUUCUCUGAAUAUUGUGUUGGUGCCUCAGUGUCCCCAUGGCAGUUCUUAAGUAUCUGGCAGAGCAAAGGGCCAGUGCACCUAAAUGCCUGACACUCUGUCUCCUAGCAACUGAUGGCCUGGGCCCCCCCUCUGCAAAGGUGCCAGCUGAAGGUGUUGAAGACAAAGGGAUCAGGUGACCUCCUGGCCCGGGAAAGGGGCUGAGCAGAGAGGAGGGGCUGGGAGGGGCUGUUAGUCUGGAGCUGGCUGGGGUCAAGGGUGGAGGGCAGACCUGGGGGUCUGGCUCACUGCCCCCCAGAAUGGACCCGGCCGAGGGGUCCGGUUCGCUGUAUCUACAAGCUCUGUUUUAGACCCUGUUCCUGUCAUCGAAUAAACCUCUGUGUUACUGGC
Molecule: long non-coding RNA, 1686 nt
Organism: Gopherus flavomarginatus (Mexican gopher tortoise)
Lineage: Eukaryota; Metazoa; Chordata; Testudines; Testudinidae
Exons: 2
Source: RefSeq, a predicted model, not a curated record